GAACUUUUUUCUAGCAAUAGUAUUGAUGGUGUGGAGUGCACAGGUGCACUGUGUAAAAUGCAACAUGCAAUAAUGGAGUGGCUGGCAGAGCAGCAGCAGGGGUGGGGCUUUGCGUUUGUUUAACACUAUGCUGUUUUCAAAUAAAUAGUUUUCCAUUUAGAAAUGCAAAACUUUUAAACAAGGAAAAUGAUGGUGAACACUGUUUUUUUGGGAAUUGUAUUUUUACUUCACAUCAACAUGAAUUUAGAGAAUCAUGGUGCUUUUAUUAAAAGAGCUUCAGAGUAUAUGUAAAUACGUUUUUAAAAGUCACGUCGCUGAUAUCAGUUAGGUAACCUAACAUUUCACUACUGCUCUAGGAUUGAUGUGCACUGUACAGCAUCCGAGGUAAAACGUGGUUUUGUUUUGUAAAAACUGUAGAUUUUUACUUACAAGUGCCUUUUUGCCACCUAAUGUUUUUAUUUAUAGGAAUGCUGAUCUUUUGUACAUAUGGUUUGUUUUAAAAUCAUGUUAAUAAGUUUGUAUAUAAGUGCAUAUGUAUAUAACCGGAUUUCAAAAAGAAAUCAAAGUUAUUAGUAACAUGCAAGAUUGCAUAUUAAGAAUUAACUGAUAAAUGCAUAUAGACUUUAGGUGAUUUUGUGGUUUGCUGCUGUAUCAUAAGGGAAGCUGUUGGUCAUUGAGUUCAUUUAAUUAUGUUGGAAUACUUUCCUAAAGAUUUAAUUUUAACUCCAUUUUGAUAGAGUGAUUUUAUUUUUAUGUUGUGUGGCUUCGUGUUUAUAUUUUGUGAGUUACAUGUUUUGCUUUAUUUUUAUAUAAAAUUUCUUUAAAAUUUAUAACGUUUCUAUAACAGCCCAUAUAUCUGCUUUUUUAUAAUGUGUUCUAAGUUAAUAUUUAUGUACACCAUACUUACUUUGUAAAUUUAAUACAAAUCUGGAAAAUUAAAUAACUUUUAUAAUC
This 954-nucleotide long non-coding RNA is filed under the name Mus musculus (house mouse). RNAcentral's name for it is "long non-coding RNA chr9:13844334-13845288". Lineage: Eukaryota; Metazoa; Chordata; Mammalia; Rodentia; Muridae. The record is from RNAcentral.